UAAUGAGGCGAACCGGGGGAACUGAAACAUCUAAGUACCCCGAGGAAAAGAAAUCAACCGAGAUUCCCCCAGUAGCGGCGAGCGAACGGGGAGCAGCCCAGAGCCUGAAUCAGUAUGUGUGUUAGUGGAAGCGUCUGGAAAGGCGCGCGAUACAGGGUGACAGCCCCGUACACAAAAAUGCACAUGCUGUGAGCUCGAUGAGUAGGGCGGGACACGUGGUAUCCUGUCUGAAUAUGGGGGGACCAUCCUCCAAGGCUAAAUACUCCUGACUGACCGAUAGUGAACCAGUACCGUGAGGGAAAGGCGAAAAGAACCCCGGCGAGGGGAGUGAAAAAGAACCUGAAACCGUGUACGUACAAGCAGUGGGAGCACGCUUAGGCGUGUGACUGCGUACCUUUUGUAUAAUGGGUCAGCGACUUAUAUUCUGUAGCAAGGUUAACCGAAUAGGGGAGCCGAAGGGAAACCGAGUCUUAACUGGGCGUUAAGUUGCAGGGUAUAGACCCGAAACCCGGUGAUCUAGCCAUGGGCAGGUUGAAGGUUGGGUAACACUAACUGGAGGACCGAACCGACUAAUGUUGAAAAAUUAGCGGAUGACUUGUGGCUGGGGGUGAAAGGCCAAUCAAACCGGGAGAUAGCUGGUUCUCCCCGAAAGCUAUUUAGGUAGCGCCUCGUGAAUUCAUCUCCGGGGGUAGAGCACUGUUUCGGCAAGGGGGUCAUCCCGACUUACCAACCCGAUGCAAACUGCGAAUACCGGAGAAUGUUAUCACGGGAGACACACGGCGGGUGCUAACGUCCGUCGUGAAGAGGGAAACAACCCAGACCGCCAGCUAAGGUCCCAAAGUCAUGGUUAAGUGGGAAACGAUGUGGGAAGGCCCAGACAGCCAGGAUGUUGGCUUAGAAGCAGCCAUCAUUUAAAGAAAGCGUAAUAGCUCACUGGUCGAGUCGGCCUGCGCGGAAGAUGUAACGGGGCUAAACCAUGCAC
RNAcentral lists this ribosomal RNA (982 nucleotides) under Escherichia coli. RNAcentral describes it as "partial 23S ribosomal RNA". It matches the Rfam family "Bacterial large subunit ribosomal RNA", at positions 172 to 1194 of the family's 2925-position model. The record is from RNAcentral. Lineage: Bacteria; Pseudomonadati; Pseudomonadota; Gammaproteobacteria; Enterobacterales; Enterobacteriaceae.